Molecule: ribosomal RNA, 231 nt
Filed under: Triticum aestivum (bread wheat)
Lineage: Eukaryota; Viridiplantae; Streptophyta; Magnoliopsida; Poales; Poaceae
Description: partial small subunit ribosomal RNA
Source: RNAcentral
AUGGAAGACAACUGGUUAAUCUGGAAUGUAAGGGGGCUCAACAACCCGGCACGUAGGAAGGUGGUCAAGGAUGUAGUGUAUCAAAACAGUGUAUCUUUAGUGUGUUUGCAAGAGACGAAGUUGUCUGUCAUGGAUGCGGCAACUGUGCAACAGUGUUGCGGGGCUGAAUUUUUGGAGUUUGCCUUCCGGCCAGCCGAUGGAACGCGGGGUGGGGUGUUGCUGGCCUGGAAG